RNAcentral lists this ribosomal RNA (445 nucleotides) under uncultured bacterium. RNAcentral describes it as "partial 16S ribosomal RNA". It matches the Rfam family "Bacterial small subunit ribosomal RNA", at positions 354 to 796 of the family's 1533-position model. The record is from RNAcentral.
GUGGGGAAUUUUGGACAAUGGGCGCAAGCCUGAUCCAGCCAUGCCGCGUGCAGGAAGACGCAUCUAUGGUGUGUAAACUGCUUUUGUACGGGAAGAAACACUCCCUCGUGAGGGAGCUUGACGGUACCGUAAGAAUAAGGAUCGGCUAACUCCGUGCCAGCAGCCGCGGUAAUACGGAGGGUGCAAGCGUUAUCCGGAAUCACUGGGUUUAAAGGGUACGUAGGCGGUUAAUUAAGUCAGUAGUGAAAGACUGUCGCUCAACGACGGAUGUGCUAUUGAUACUGGUUAACUUGAAUCAGGUUAGAGUUGGCGGAAUGGGUCAUGUAGCGGUGAAAUGCUUAGAUAUGACUUGGAACACCGAUAGCGAAGGCAGCUGACUGAGCCUUGAUUGACGCUGAGGUACGAAAGUGUGGGUAGCGAACAGGAUUAGAUACCCUUGUAGUCC